GGGGGGGGGGGGGGGGGGGGGGGGGGGGGGGGGGGGGGGGGGGGGGGGGGUGGGGGGGGGGGGGGGCGGGUGGCGAGGGGGGGAGGGGGAGGGAGUAGAGGGGGGUGUGAUGUUGGGAGGGUGGGGACGUAGGGACAAUGCGAGUAAUGCCGGAGACGAUCUUGGUGAGAAAGGAGGGAGUCUUCGGGAACUGAACGACUGAAUGCGACGAUGUCGGAUUAGCGAGGUGGCGGGGUAAAGGCACACCAAGGCGCCGAUCCGUAGCUGGUCUGAGAGGAUGAUCAGCCACACUGGAACUGAGACACGGUCCAGACUCCUACGGGAGGCAGCAGUGGGGAAUAUUGGACAAUGGGCGCAAGCCUGAUCCAGCCAUACCGCGUGGGUGAAGAAGGCCUUCGGGUUGUAAAGCCCUUUUGUUGGGAAAGAAAAGCAGCAGGUUAAUACCCCGCUGUUCUGACGGUACCCAAAGAAUAAGCACCGGCUAACUUCGUG
RNAcentral lists this ribosomal RNA (492 nucleotides) under uncultured bacterium. Its description in RNAcentral is "partial 16S ribosomal RNA". The stretch from base 126 to 492 matches the Rfam family "Bacterial small subunit ribosomal RNA", at positions 39 to 507 of the family's 1533-position model. The record is from RNAcentral.